AGUAUACUGUUCGGUGGCGCAGCUAACGCAUUAAACAUUCCGCCUGGGGAGUACGGUCGCAAGAUUAAAACUCAAAGGAAUUGACGGGGACCCGCACAAGCGGUGGAGCAUGUGGUUUAAUUCGAUUCAACGCGAAGAACCUUACCUACUCUUGACAUACUAGAAACUUUUCAGAGAUGAAUUGGUGCCUUCGGGAAUCUAGAUACAGGUGCUGCAUGGCUGUCGUCAGCUCGUGUCGUGAGAUGUUGGGUUAAGUCCCGCAACGAGCGCAACCCU
RNAcentral lists this ribosomal RNA (276 nucleotides) under Extubocellulus spinifer. Its description in RNAcentral is "partial Bacterial small subunit ribosomal RNA". It matches the Rfam family "Bacterial small subunit ribosomal RNA", at positions 829 to 1105 of the family's 1533-position model. The record is from RNAcentral. Lineage: Eukaryota; Bacillariophyta; Thalassiosirophyceae; Cymatosirales; Cymatosiraceae.